GACGAACGCUGGCGGCGUGCCUAAUACAUGCAAGUAGAACGCACAGUUUAUACCGUAGCUUGCUACACCAUAGACUGUGAGUUGCGAACGGGUGAGUAACGCGUAGGUAACCUGCCUGGUAGCGGGGAUAACUAUUGGAAACGAUAGCUAAUACCGCAUAAUAUUGAUUAUUGCAUGAUAAUUGAUUGAAAGAUGCUAUUGCAUCACUACCAGAUGGACCUGCGUUGUAUUAGCUAGUAGGUGAGGUAACGGCUCACCUAGGCGACGAUACAUAGCCGACCUGAGAGGGUGAUCGGCCACACUGGGACUGAGACACGGCCCAGACUCCUACGGGAGGCAGCAGUAGGGAAUCUUCGGCAAUGGACGAAAGUCUGACCGAGCAACGCCGCGUGAGUGAAGAAGGGUUUCGGAUCGUAAAGCUCUGUUGUAAGAGAAGAACGGGUGUGAGAGUGGAAAGUUCACACUGUGACGGUAGCUUACCAGAAAGGGACGGCUAACUACGUG
RNAcentral lists this ribosomal RNA (504 nucleotides) under uncultured bacterium. RNAcentral describes it as "partial 16S ribosomal RNA". It matches the Rfam family "Bacterial small subunit ribosomal RNA", at positions 28 to 507 of the family's 1533-position model. The record is from RNAcentral.